This 2891-nucleotide ribosomal RNA is filed under the name Klebsiella pneumoniae. Its description in RNAcentral is "bacterial LSU rRNA". It matches the Rfam family "Bacterial large subunit ribosomal RNA". Lineage: Bacteria; Pseudomonadati; Pseudomonadota; Gammaproteobacteria; Enterobacterales; Enterobacteriaceae. The record is from RNAcentral.
ACUAAGCGUACACGGUGGAUGCCCUGGCAGUCAGAGGCGAUGAAGGACGUGCUAAUCUGCGAAAAGCGUCGGUAAGGUGAUAUGAACCGUUAUAACCGGCGAUGUCCGAAUGGGGAAACCCAGUGCAAUUCGUUGCACUAUCGUUAACUGAAUACAUAGGUUAACGAGGCGAACCGGGGGAACUGAAACAUCUAAGUACCCCGAGGAAAAGAAAUCAACCGAGAUUCCCCCAGUAGCGGCGAGCGAACGGGGAGCAGCCCAGAGUCUGAAUCAGCUUGUGUGUUAGUGGAACGGUCUGGAAAGUCCGACGGUACAGGGUGAUAGUCCCGUACACCAAAAUGCACAGGUUGUGAACUCGAAGAGUAGGGCGGGACACGUGGUAUCCUGUCUGAAUAUGGGGGGACCAUCCUCCAAGGCUAAAUACUCCUGACUGACCGAUAGUGAACCAGUACCGUGAGGGAAAGGCGAAAAGAACCCCGGCGAGGGGAGUGAAAAAGAACCUGAAACCGUGUACGUACAAGCAGUGGGAGCACCUUCGGGUGUGACUGCGUACCUUUUGUAUAAUGGGUCAGCGACUUAUAUUCUGUAGCAAGGUUAACCGUAUAGGGGAGCCGCAGGGAAACCGAGUCUUAACUGGGCGUUAAGUUGCAGGGUAUAGACCCGAAACCCGGUGAUCUAGCCAUGGGCAGGUUGAAGGUUGGGUAACACUAACUGGAGGACCGAACCGACUAAUGUUGAAAAAUUAGCGGAUGACUUGUGGCUGGGGGUGAAAGGCCAAUCAAACCGGGAGAUAGCUGGUUCUCCCCGAAAGCUAUUUAGGUAGCGCCUCGUGAAUUCAUCUUCGGGGGUAGAGCACUGUUUCGGCUAGGGGGUCAUCCCGACUUACCAACCCGAUGCAAACUACGAAUACCGAAGAAUGUUAUCACGGGAGACACACGGCGGGUGCUAACGUCCGUCGUGAAGAGGGAAACAACCCAGACCGCCAGCUAAGGUCCCAAAGUCAUGGUUAAGUGGGAAACGAUGUGGGAAGGCACAGACAGCCAGGAUGUUGGCUUAGAAGCAGCCAUCAUUUAAAGAAAGCGUAAUAGCUCACUGGUCGAGUCGGCCUGCGCGGAAGAUGUAACGGGGCUAAACCAUGCACCGAAGCUGCGGCAGCGACACUAUGUGUUGUUGGGUAGGGGAGCGUUCUGUAAGCCUGCGAAGGUGACCUGUGAGGGUUGCUGGAGGUAUCAGAAGUGCGAAUGCUGACAUAAGUAACGAUAAAGCGGGUGAAAAGCCCGCUCGCCGGAAGACCAAGGGUUCCUGUCCAACGUUAAUCGGGGCAGGGUGAGUCGACCCCUAAGGCGAGGCCGAAAGGCGUAGUCGAUGGGAAACAGGUUAAUAUUCCUGUACUUGGUGUUACUGCGAAGGGGGGACGGAGAAGGCUAUGUUAGCCGGGCGACGGUUGUCCCGGUUUAAGCAUGUAGGCUGGUUGUCCAGGCAAAUCCGGAUAAUCAAGGCUGAGGUGUGAUGACGAGGUACUACGGUGCUGAAGUAACAAAUGCCCUGCUUCCAGGAAAAGCCUCUAAGCAUCAGGUAACAUUAAAUCGUACCCCAAACCGACACAGGUGGUCAGGUAGAGAAUACCAAGGCGCUUGAGAGAACUCGGGUGAAGGAACUAGGCAAAAUGGUGCCGUAACUUCGGGAGAAGGCACGCUGGUGUGUAGGUGAAGUCCCUGCGGAUGGAGCUGAGACCAGUCGAAGAUACCAGCUGGCUGCAACUGUUUAUUAAAAACACAGCACUGUGCAAACACGAAAGUGGACGUAUACGGUGUGACGCCUGCCCGGUGCCGGAAGGUUAAUUGAUGGGGUUAUCCGUAAGGAGAAGCUCUUGAUCGAAGCCCCGGUAAACGGCGGCCGUAACUAUAACGGUCCUAAGGUAGCGAAAUUCCUUGUCGGGUAAGUUCCGACCUGCACGAAUGGCGUAAUGAUGGCCAGGCUGUCUCCACCCGAGACUCAGUGAAAUUGAACUCGCUGUGAAGAUGCAGUGUACCCGCGGCAAGACGGAAAGACCCCGUGAACCUUUACUAUAGCUUGACACUGAACAUUGAGCCUUGAUGUGUAGGAUAGGUGGGAGGCUUUGAAGCGUGGACGCCAGUCUGCGUGGAGCCAACCUUGAAAUACCACCCUUUAAUGUUUGAUGUUCUAACGUUGGCCCCUUACCGGGGUUGCGGACAGUGUCUGGUGGGUAGUUUGACUGGGGCGGUCUCCUCCCAAAGCGUAACGGAGGAGCACGAAGGUUAGCUAAUCCUGGUCGGACAUCAGGAGGUUAGUGCAAUGGCAUAAGCUAGCUUGACUGCGAGCGUGACGGCGCGAGCAGGUGCGAAAGCAGGUCAUAGUGAUCCGGUGGUUCUGAAUGGAAGGGCCAUCGCUCAACGGAUAAAAGGUACUCCGGGGAUAACAGGCUGAUACCGCCCAAGAGUUCAUAUCGACGGCGGUGUUUGGCACCUCGAUGUCGGCUCAUCACAUCCUGGGGCUGAAGUAGGUCCCAAGGGUAUGGCUGUUCGCCAUUUAAAGUGGUACGCGAGCUGGGUUUAGAACGUCGUGAGACAGUUCGGUCCCUAUCUGCCGUGGGCGCUGGAGAAUUGAGGGGGGCUGCUCCUAGUACGAGAGGACCGGAGUGGACGCAUCACUGGUGUUCGGGUUGUCAUGCCAAUGGCACUGCCCGGUAGCUAAAUGCGGAAGAGAUAAGUGCUGAAAGCAUCUAAGCACGAAACUUGCCCCGAGAUGAGUUCUCCCUGAGACUUUAAGUCUCCUGAAGGAACGUUGAAGACGACGACGUUGAUAGGCCGGGUGUGUAAGCGCAGCGAUGCGUUGAGCUAACCGGUACUAAUGAACCGUGAGGCUUAACC